AUGACUUUUGUAAAGGGAAGUCAUGCCUCACCAGUCAGAAUUAUUUGAGGGGGGGGUCAACAAGCAGGUGGGUGUGAUCCAAUGGAUAUAGUGUACUUGGACUUUUAAAAAGCCCUUGACCAGGAAAAUCACUCCCUCUGAAGCAUCUGCCAUUGGCCACUGUUGGAAGACAGGAUACUAGACUAGAUGAACCAUUGGUCUGACCCAAUAUGGCCAUUCUUAUGAAGGACAAAUAUAAAAUCUUCAUGAAUCGUGGGUUCAUAUAUUUUAAUGCCGCAAGGGACCAUUAGAUGAUCUGAUCUAACCUUCUGUAUAUCACAGGCCAUUACAUUUCACCUGGUUACUCCAGUAUUUAACCCAAUAACCUCUCUGACAAAAGCAUAUUUUCCAGUCCUGAUCUGAAGACCUCAGGAAAUAGAAAAUCCACCACUUGUGAUAGUUUGUUCCAGUGGUUAACCAUCACUUUUUUUUAAGUGUCUUAUUUCUGCUUUGAAUUUCUCUGGCUUCAGCUUCCAGCCAUUAGUUCUUGUUCUGCCUUUCUCCACUAGAUUAGAGCCCUUUAGUACCUGGUAUUUUUUUUCCUGUGAAGAUAUUUAUAUUCAGUAAUUGUCACCUCUCAAUCUUUUUUUGAUAAACUAAACAGCUGGAGCUCUUUAAGUCUCUCCCUAUAAAGCAUUUUCUUUAGUGCUUGAAUAAUUUCAGUGGCUCUUUCUGCACCCUCUCCAGUUUUUCCACAUCCUCUUUAAAAUGUGGACCCCAGACUGUAUGCAAUAUUCCAUGGUGAGUCUCACCAAUGAUGUAUACAGAGGUACAGGCACACAGAGAGUCAAUGAGUGUCUUUUUUUCUACUGUGUACAAGCCCUGCCCAUGUAGCACACAGCUAGCCUAUUAGGCUUACAUUUAAAGGUAAAUGGAAUUCAGUGGGCCCAACUACUUGAGCAAGGACUAUCUGUGUAAGGGUUCUGGGCUCAGCUACUCCAUAGCAGACCAUGUAUAAAAAGUAUAUAGAACCAUAGUUCAGGUGCAGGAAAGCAAGGUCAGAUUCUCAGAGGAAGGAAGGCCUUGUAAUUAAGGUACUGGCCUGACACUCAGAAGGUCUUGGUUCAAUACCUGGCUCUGCUGCAUGUGUCCUAUGUAACCUUGCGCAAAGUCUUAGUGCCUCAGGUCCUCAUCUGGACAAAGGGAAUAAUUAUUUUUCUGACACCGUUUGACUUGUCUGUUUAGAUGGCAUGGGACUAUCUUUUGCGGGUGUUGCACAGCGCCUAGCACGAUGAGACCCCAUCUUCAUUGGGGCUUCUAGGCAUGACUGUAAUACCAACAAUCAGUAAUAGGAAGGCUUCCUGAAAGAACUGAGUUUUGAGGGAGAAUUUGAAGGAGAAAAGAGUUUUAUUAGUGGCUGUACAAGACAAAGGAGGUAUUUCAGAUGUCAGGAUUGAGUUCCAGUAGUUCCUGUAUUUUUUUUUUUUCAUAGAAGGCACUCUGGCCAAAAAUAAACCAUGCAUAUAAAAUCAAUUAUAAUGGUUUAUAUUCCUUAUCAGAACACUUUUCAUAUCUUUAAAAAUCUUAGUCCUUGGUAUUGUUGGACUAACUUUUGGGAAGCUUGAAAUGAAAUCGGUUUGUCUGGAUUUGUUUUUUUCUCCUGGCUGUUUGUGUUCAUCCUAGGGCUGCUUAUGAGUACUGGCCUGCUGACUUUGAUUUUUUUUUAUUCCUUUGUUUUAUUUUUAAUUAAGAGAAUUCAAGCAUCUGUUUGGAGGGGAAAACUGGAGAAUUACACACAUUGGCUAAUGUAAAUGAGGAAAAGAGCUGCUGGAAACCUCCUUCCCUUCCCAACGCUCACCUCUUCCUGCCUUUGUCGGGGAAGUGUUAGAUCUGACACCUUUCCAGUAAGGGGCAUCAGAAGAGCCCUAACCAAGAGUCUUUCAUCUCAUGGAAAUGAAACCAAGCUGAGCUGCCCCUGCACUUCCCCUGCUGCCUGGGAAUCUCUCCACAAGCUGUACACUUGGAGGAGCUUGACAACAACCAUUGCCAGAGCAGCUUGUUGGAUGCAUGUGACUGAUGGUGAAAAUGGUCUGAGGCAGCUGAACGCACAGGACUUCACCACAAGUGUCUCCUGAUGGGUUGUGAGUUCAAUCCUUGAGGGGGCCAUUUAGGGAUCUGGGCCAAAACUUGGGGAUUGGUCCUGCUUUGAGCAGGGGGUUAGACUAGAGGACCUCCUGAGGUCCCUUCCAACCCUGAUAUUCUAGGAUUCUAUGACUUAAAUCUAAGCUCUGGCAAGUACAUGCAAGCUUAGCUCAAUUAGGUCUUAUGCUUGGUUUAAGGUGUAGGGGGCGCUAUGUACACCACUUCACUACUUUUAGAGCAGUUAGGUUUCUGUCUUCCCUUUCCUACCCAUGAGGAGAAAGAUUAGGGCAGGUCUCCCUUUGUCCCCUGCUGGCUGGUGAUUCCUGGCCUAGGGCUUUAAAAUGCUGAACAUUUUUGUUGGUGAUGGAAACAGCCUGUGGUUUUACCUUGCCCUUGAGAGAAUCUUAUAAGUAAACUGUUUGCUAGAGGGUAAAAGUAAGGCCAAAUGUUUUUAAUGUUGCAGGAUAAUACACAUUUAUCUUUGAAAAGUAUCACUAUAGAGCAUUAGUAUCAGUACUGGUGAGGAGAGGCGGAGAAUAAAAUUUUCAAAAUGAAUGUAUUAUUGGAGGGC
Non-coding RNA from Chrysemys picta bellii (western painted turtle), 2692 nucleotides. The record is from RefSeq and is a predicted model, not a curated record. NCBI's taxonomy places the organism in Eukaryota, Metazoa, Chordata, Testudines, Emydidae.